UAUUGCACAAUGGGGGGAACCCUGAUGCAGCGACGCCGCGCGAGUGAAGAAGUAUUUCGGUAUGUAAAGCUCUAUCAGCAGGGAAGAAAAUGACGGUACCUGAAUAAGAAGCCCCGGCUAACUACGUGCCAGCAGCCGCGGUAAUACGUAGGGGGCAAGCGUUAUCCGGAUGUACUGGGUGGAAAGGGAGCGUAGACGGUUAUGCAAGUCUGGAGUGAAAGCCCGGGGCCCAACCCCGGGACUGCUCUGGAAACUGCGUCGCUGGAGUACGGGAGGAGCAGGCGGAAUUCCUGGUGUAGCGGUGAAAUGCGUAGAUAUCAGGAGGAACACCGGCGGCGAAGGCGGCCUGCUGGACCGUGACUGACGUUGAGGCUCGAGAGCGUGUGGAGCAAA
RNAcentral lists this ribosomal RNA (393 nucleotides) under uncultured bacterium. Its description in RNAcentral is "bacterial SSU rRNA". It matches the Rfam family "Bacterial small subunit ribosomal RNA", at positions 362 to 772 of the family's 1533-position model. The record is from RNAcentral.